RNAcentral lists this long non-coding RNA (217 nucleotides) under Phasianus colchicus (ring-necked pheasant). Its description in RNAcentral is "lncRNA (ENSPCLG00000005605.1)". The record is from RNAcentral. Lineage: Eukaryota; Metazoa; Chordata; Aves; Galliformes; Phasianidae.
GGAAAACUUGAGCUGCUGGAAAAAUUUUGCUGUGAUAUAAAACAGAGACCUUUUUUUUAAAGUAGUAUUCAUUUUCAGAGUUGUGGCUUGCAGCCAUUGACCUUCUGAUCAGCUGUUAUUAUGAAGUCUGCUUUCCCACCCAGUGUUUGCUGUGGGACGCCAACAAGAUGAUAGGAGGAACAGCUUUCGGUGAAUUAAUCAGAGCAUUACUUAUUAC